This 496-nucleotide ribosomal RNA is filed under the name uncultured bacterium. Its description in RNAcentral is "partial 16S ribosomal RNA". It matches the Rfam family "Bacterial small subunit ribosomal RNA", at positions 30 to 523 of the family's 1533-position model. The record is from RNAcentral.
AUUGAACGCUGGCGGAAUGCUUUACACAUGCAAGUCGAACGGUAGAGGGGGCAACCCCUCGAGAGUGGCGAACGGGUGAGUAAUAUAUCGGAACGUGCCCAGUCGUGGGGGAUAACGUAGCGAAAGUUACGCUAAUACCGCAUACGAUCUAAGGAUGAAAGCGGGGGAUCGCAAGACCUCGCGCGAUUGGAGCGGCCGAUAUCAGAUUAGGUAGUUGGUGGGGUAAAGGCUCACCAAGUCAACGAUCUGUAGCUGGUCUGAGAGGACGACCAGCCACACUGAAACUGAGACACGGUCCAGACUCCUACGGGAGGCAGCAGUGGGGAAUUUUGGACAAUGGACGCAAGUCUGAUCCAGCCAUUCCGCGUGCAGGAUGAAGGCCCUCGGGUUGUAAACUGCUUUUGUACGGAACGAAAAGGUCUCUCUUAAUACGGGGGACUCAUGACGGUACCGUAAGAAUAAGCACCGGCUAACUACGUGCCAGCCGCCGCGGUAA